Molecule: transfer RNA, 71 nt
Filed under: Dendropoma gregarium
Lineage: Eukaryota; Metazoa; Mollusca; Gastropoda; Littorinimorpha; Vermetidae
Description: tRNA-Leu
Source: RNAcentral
UUUAAAGUGGCAGAAAAGUGCGUCAGAUUUAAGCUUUGGAUAUGAAAGAUCAAUCGUUCUUUCCUUUAAGU